RNAcentral lists this unclassified non-coding RNA (427 nucleotides) under Hevea brasiliensis (rubber tree). The record is from RNAcentral. Lineage: Eukaryota; Viridiplantae; Streptophyta; Magnoliopsida; Malpighiales; Euphorbiaceae.
AGGAGAUAUAUCAAAAUAUGGAAAAAAAAAAUCAAUUUUACAAGGACAUAAAAGCAUGCCACGUCCUACCUUAGAAUUGAGGUGAGUCCUCAUAGUCUCUUCAGUCAAACAGACAAUUUGGGGGCAAAUACGACACUUAUAAACUGAUUUGAAUUUUAAUAAAAAAUCUGGCAUAUCAGCUCGUGGUGAUUCCUUUUGGGCUACACCAUUAAGCUCUUUAUUGAGAAUACAAGCACCAUGUUUACCAGAUAUUCGAGGGCCAACAGGAAUUUGCUUUUCAUUUCCAGUCCCAUCAUCUUCAUUUAUAAAACCUUAUGAGCUAAUAUCAACCGCAUCAGUUGAAAUAUCCUCACUCUUGUAUCCGGACGAUAAGGAGCAGGAUUCAUCAUUCUCUUUCGCCUCUGCAGCCGCAGCAUGAUCAUCUGAG